Molecule: ribosomal RNA, 484 nt
Filed under: uncultured bacterium
Lineage: Bacteria
Description: partial 16S ribosomal RNA
Rfam family: Bacterial small subunit ribosomal RNA
Source: RNAcentral
AUUGAACGCUGGCGGCAUGCUUUACACAUGCAAGUCGAACGGCAGCGCGGGCUUCGGCCUGGCGGCGAGUGGCGAACGGGUGAGUAAUACAUCGGAAAGUGCCCAGUAGUGGGGGAUAGCUCGGCGAAAGCCGGAUUAAUACCUCAUACGACCUGAGGGGGAAAGCGGGGGAUCUUCGGACCUCGCGCUAUUGGAGCGGCCGAUGGCAGAUUAGCUAGUUGGUGGGGUAAAGGCCUAUCAAGGCGACGAUCUGUAGCUGGUCUGAGAGGACGACCAGCCACACUGGGACUGCGACACGGCCCAGACUCCUACGGGAGGCAGCAGUGGGGAAUUUUGGACAAUGGGCGAAAGCCUGAUCCAGCAAUGCCGCGUGUGUGAUGAAGGCCUUCGGGUUGUAAAGCACUUUUGGCGGGAACGAAAAGGACUGUGCCAAUACCACGGUUCGAUGACGGUACCCGCAGAAUAAGCACCGGCUAACUACGUG